This 227-nucleotide long non-coding RNA is filed under the name Elaeis guineensis (African oil palm). RNAcentral describes it as "long non-coding RNA (EGUI_LNC011823)". Lineage: Eukaryota; Viridiplantae; Streptophyta; Magnoliopsida; Arecales; Arecaceae. The record is from RNAcentral.
GACCAGUCCACUCAAGCUCUGGAUAGUUAUAAAAUAGGCUUAAUCCGGCCUAUAUUUUAUAUUUUUGAUGAUUAGAUUAUAAAUUUUAUAAAAUUUUAAGUCCAACUAUCUAAAUAUAUCCUAAAAUAAUCCUUCCAAAUGGAGCAUCUCAAGUCCUCCUUCUUACAUAUUUAUUAUGUCGUUAUUAUGUCAUUAUCCAAACGCAACUAUAACAAAAUACACAGAGA